Molecule: transfer RNA, 77 nt
Filed under: Flavobacteriales bacterium
Lineage: Bacteria; Pseudomonadati; Bacteroidota; Flavobacteriia; Flavobacteriales
Description: tRNA-Met
Rfam family: tRNA
About the family: Transfer RNA (tRNA) molecules are approximately 80 nucleotides in length. Their secondary structure includes four short double-helical elements and three loops (D, anti-codon, and T loops). Further hydrogen bonds mediate the characteristic L-shaped molecular structure. tRNAs have two regions of fundamental functional importance: the anti-codon, which is responsible for specific mRNA codon recognition, and the 3' end, to which the tRNAs corresponding amino acid is attached (by aminoacyl-tRNA synthetases). tRNAs cope with the degeneracy of the genetic code in two manners: having more than one tRNA (with a specific anti-codon) for a particular amino acid; and 'wobble' base-pairing, i.e. permitting non-standard base-pairing at the 3rd anti-codon position.
Source: RNAcentral
AGGCUCUUAGCUCAGUUGGUCAGAGCAUUCCGCUCAUAACGGAUCGGUCGUCGGUUCAAGUCCGACAGAGCCUACCA